Molecule: long non-coding RNA, 266 nt
Filed under: Eucalyptus grandis
Lineage: Eukaryota; Viridiplantae; Streptophyta; Magnoliopsida; Myrtales; Myrtaceae
Description: long non-coding RNA (EGRA_LNC006131)
Source: RNAcentral
AGACAAAAGUCCGGCCCAUUCCAUUCACCUUAGGUGUCACUCUCCGCGAUCGAUUCGCCAGAGCUAUCAUUGCUCCAUCACCAUCAAUUCGAUCGUCUACCGUCUCCGGUCAGUCACAGCCACCGUCAAAUCUCCCGCGCCGCCCACCACAGCCUUCGCCGUAACGGAGCGAAGCAUCGACGCUCAUCACCGCCAAUCGGACUUCUCUCGUGCAAUUUCCCUCUCGUCUUAACGCAUUUGCAGAUUCCUUUUAAUCUCACGANNNN